CACCGCGGUUAUACGAGAGGCCCAAGUUGAUAAUCACCGGCGUAAAGAGUGGUUAAGACCAAUAUAAAACUAGAGCCGAAAACCUCCACAGCUGUUAUACGCACUCGGGGGCAGGAAGCCCAACUACGAAAGUGGCUCUACAAAACCUGAACCCACGAAAGCUAGGGCA
This 169-nucleotide ribosomal RNA is filed under the name Pomadasys quadrilineatus. RNAcentral describes it as "partial 12S rRNA". The record is from RNAcentral. Lineage: Eukaryota; Metazoa; Chordata; Actinopteri; Lutjaniformes; Haemulidae.